Non-coding RNA from Myotis brandtii (Brandt's bat), 69 nucleotides. The record is from Rfam. Lineage: Eukaryota; Metazoa; Chordata; Mammalia; Chiroptera; Vespertilionidae.
AUCGCAUCUCAGCCUUUUGGCUAAGAUCAAGUGUAGUAUAAUCAUAAAUAGUUUAAAUAUUCAACAUAU